This 524-nucleotide ribosomal RNA is filed under the name uncultured bacterium. RNAcentral's name for it is "partial 16S ribosomal RNA". It matches the Rfam family "Bacterial small subunit ribosomal RNA", at positions 28 to 523 of the family's 1533-position model. The record is from RNAcentral.
GACGAACGCUGGCGGCAUGCCUAAUACAUGCAAGUCGAGCGAACAGAUGAAGUGCUUGCACUUCUGACGUUAGCGGCGAACGGGUGAGUAACGCGUGGGCAACCUGCCCUUCAGACGGGGACAACAUUCCGAAAGGAGUGCUAAUACCGGAUACGACCUUUGGACCGCAUGGUCUAAAGAAGAAAGGUGGCCUCUAUUUAUAAGCUACCGCUGAAGGAUGGGCCUGCGUCUGAUUAGCUAGUUGGUGGGGUAAAGGCCUACCAAGGCGACGAUCAGUAGCCGGUCUGAGAGGAUGAACGGCCACACUGGGACUGAGACACGGCCCAGACUCCUACGGGAGGCAGCAGUGGGGAAUCUUCCGCAAUGGGCGAAAGCCUGACGGAGCAACGCCGCGUGAGUGAAGAAGGUCUUCGGAUUGUAAAGCUCUGUUUAAAGGGACGAAUGGCAGAUUUGUGAAUAAUGAAUUUGCAUGACGGUACCUUUGGAGGAAGCCACGGCUAACUACGUGCCAGCCGCCGCGGUAA